UGCCGGGGCACUUCUGACAACAUAACCACUACAGAGUGCUGUAGUGGUUAUGGUGACUGGAGUGUUCCUUUA
This is a non-coding RNA of Pelobates cultripes (western spadefoot toad), 72 nucleotides long. NCBI's taxonomy places the organism in Eukaryota, Metazoa, Chordata, Amphibia, Anura, Pelobatidae. The record is from the annotation of a GenBank genome assembly.